UACGGAGGGGGCAAGCGUUGUUCGGAGUUACUGGGCGUAAAGCGCGCGUAGGCGGUGCGGUAAGUCAGGGGUUAAAGGCUGCAGCUCAACUGCAGUAAGGCCUUUGAUACUAUCGCGCUAGAGUACCAGAGAGGAUGGCGGAAUUCCCGGUGUAGCGGUGAAAUGCGUAGAUAUAUGGAGGAACACCGGUGGCGAAAGCGGCCUUCUGGCCUUAACCUGACGCUGAGGAGCGAAAGCUAGGGGAGCAAACGGG
This 253-nucleotide ribosomal RNA is filed under the name uncultured microorganism. Its description in RNAcentral is "partial 16S ribosomal RNA". It matches the Rfam family "Bacterial small subunit ribosomal RNA", at positions 524 to 776 of the family's 1533-position model. The record is from RNAcentral.